This 6075-nucleotide long non-coding RNA is filed under the name Stegodyphus dumicola. Its description in RNAcentral is "uncharacterized LOC118202436, transcript variant X2". The record is from RNAcentral. Lineage: Eukaryota; Metazoa; Arthropoda; Arachnida; Araneae; Eresidae.
CAGAAGACAGAAGCAAGUUUUCAUCAGUAUUCGUUCAUCAAAGGAAAAGUUUCCAUAUGAAGCUGUUUUUUGAAAGGUGUCACUAUAUUGAUUAGUAAUACAAAAGCAGCACAGGAAUUGUUUUCCCUCACAUCCAACCAAAGAGCUGUGAGGAUGAUUAACACACAGGUUUAAAAAUAACCUGUGCUGCCAUUCUGUCCAAGUUAAAAUUUAGUCAAGUCGUAUUUUCCACUGUAGGAGAAGUCAUGAAUGAAUUACAGUCUAAGGACUUCUUUAUGAGACUUGGUAUACUUCAGCAACAUGCAAAAAAUUUUAUUUUAAUCAGUUAAUAUUUGGAAGUUGCAGAAAAUUUUCUUGCAGUUUCAACAAGCAUUUCUUCCUGCUGUAUUCACAUAUUAAGCAUUUUUUAUGUUUGGAUCAACAAGUUUAUCAAGAAUUAACUGACCAAAAAGAUGUUGAAUGUCAGCUUCUCUGUUCGAUGACUUUUGGAAGAAUUUUGGAGAUUGAGGUGCACACUUUUUUAUGUACAUUCAAAUUGUGCUAGAAUUAAUCCCAAGAUUUACAAAAAGCCCAUUUUUGAUGGAUUUCAAAAUCUUCAUGAAGAUAAACAUGCUGGGGGAAAUGAAUCCUGUCUACUGAAAUGUAUUUUAGUCUUAAUGAUACUAAUAAUAAGCAAAAUAUGAAGUAUGAAACAGAAAAUCCUAAACAAAUUCAUUAUUGACCUCUGUAUACACCAAGCAGAUGUAUGAUAUAACUGCCAUAAUGUCAUACCAUACUUUAAGGCAGUGUAUAAAAUGACAUGACCUACUGAAUGUAAUAAACAGAUUUUGGAAUGACCGUCUUGUAUUCAGUACUUACUUUUAUGUCUGAGUAUAAACCUUGCUUUUUCAAAGAGUUAAAAAGAAAGGAGGAUUACAGAGGACCGCUUUUUGAGAUCCCAUUUGGCCCAAUGUGGAAUAAUAGGCUUUCAGUAAGACAGAACCAUAAUACAAAAUCCCUAGUUUUGCGAUUUAAAUUAAAGUCUUCAAUAUACUUAAAUCUGUCUACAAUCAAUUUUUUUAGAGCUACAUUAAAAGAGAAGUCUACAUUAAUCAACCAGAUAUUAAAAACAUUUAAAAGGGAUUAUCAAAGAAAGGAUGAACAACUCAUCUGUAGUUUUGGACAGAUCAAGUGGUAGUGCUCUGUCCAGAAAGAAAAGAUGGAAGCAUCCAAUUAUGUAAACAUUAAGAGGCAAGAUUUUCCACAAAGAAAGGGAAGAAACUGAGCAAAUUUUUUUUUGGGGGUGUAAAAUUCUGAGAUGCAUUCGGUUUUCAAUUUUUUUAUGUAAUGUAGAAUUCAAUCUUUAAAUUUGAAUCAUAAACAUAAUUUUACUGCUGUAGUAGUACAGAAAAGUCAGCUGCUACUUACUAACAUAAUAAAAAUGUGUAUGCAGAUUUUGAUAUUUUCCUUUUAGAAAUUGAUUGUUUCGGAAAAUUUUAUUUCUCUCCAUUACUACGUUGUUUAACUAAGUAUUAAAAAUAAAGAAGGCAAGCAUUGUAGCAUGUAUAAAAAGGCUCUUCAUGUUUAUUUUUUCUGAAAGGGUUCUGCAAAUCAUUAUUCAGGCAGAUUAGUAAAGAUAAGAACUAUUUUUAAACAGCUAAAAUAUCAGUUGAAAAAUAAAAAAAUUAUAACAAGAAACUUGCUGUUAUAAAUUGGUACUUCCAUUUUAUGGUGGCCUAAGUGCAUUUAACACAUCUUUGCUUUGGAGAGAAAUGAAAGGUUACUAAUUUGCAUGUUUAUCUAAGGUUUAUGUCUCUUCAGCCAAUGAAAAUUUUUCUUAAAAUCUAACAGCUCGCUAUUAUUAAGUAUUUAUGAUGAAGAAUUGUUACUAUAUACUGUUUACUAUUUUCAAUCUGUCAUCAAUAGAAAAGGAAAAUUAUGGAAAAUUAUGCUUAUGGGGAUCAAUGAAAAAGUGAAACAAAAAACAAAGGUUUAUGUCUUUCUAUCAGCUAGAGUCAUACUAAGUAGAAUUCAUGUUCAGGCAUUGCAUUAUCUGUGAUAAUGUGUUUUACACAUUAUUAUCAGAAAGUGUGUAUAAAAAAUAACAUUUUGGUUAUAUUUAUAGAUGUUAAGUAAAUUGUUUGGAAAAUUGCAUUAAAUAAAAGAAAAAAUAUAAGUUUAUGUUAAAUUACUUCUGUAUGUAUUUGUUUCCAGCAAUGUAUGAAAUGUCGGCAUUCUAUUGAAUAGCUAUGCAUUUUAUAGAAUGCCUAGCAAUUUAAAGCACAGUGUGAAAUAUGAGAAUCAUUAUAUACUUUCCCUAGGCUUUAUGUAUAAUACCUAUAUAGUCUUGAGGAUGACAAAUGUUAUUUAAACAAAAUGUGUUAAAAGCUCUUCCCCCCUGCUGCCUAGGCAUACAAAUGUAGAUGUACAGUUUAAUAGCAUGACGUGUAAAGUUUUUCUAUUUGAUUGAAAGUUUUUUCAACAUUCUAUUAUGUCCUUCUUAUCCAGCAGUCAGAUGAGCUUCAUGAAGUAUGUGAAAUAACUUAGAGUCUGUGACAUAAUAAUACUGUUGCCUUCUUUAACAGGAUAAAUAAGCUUAUUUUAUCCUCUCACAAACAUAACAUCAUAGUGAUUCAGCAACCAAUAGUCCCAGCAUUUCUUCUUAGUAGUCAUUUUGGGUAUUUUUAAAUCAUUCAUUGACUUCUGAUAAGUAGUUUCGGUUAAGAAUAAACUGCCAUUUUUAGCAUGAUCUCAAAAUUGGACAGUUCAUCAUCGAAUUGUUGUUGCAUGUCUGUUGACCAUGACUUCUCCAACAUAGUAUCUUGCUAUUCCAUUUUCAUGCAGAACAGCAUAAAAUUAAUUUUUUGUUGAGCAGAUUUAAGUAAAAUUCUGUAUUUUGGCACUUUCGAAAACAGCGCAAAGUGUAAAUGGUAAAUUCAUCACCUGGUAAAUGGUAAAUUCAUCACCAUGUUAAAAGUCACAUGGUGUUCAAAGCGAAUCAGACAUGUAUUUAAUGAUUUACCAGUUUUCAUUUGGUAUCUAGAUUGCUAAGGAAAUGUGUGAAGUGUUAGUCAUUUCAUGCAUUGCCAACCAGUUUUUGCAUUUUAUAGAAUACUGGCCUUCAUGCAUUGUCAACAACAUUUGUAUUAAAUAAAUUGUGCUGCAUGGGCAGUAAAUGAAUUACCAAAUUUACAUUGGUCAUCGUUUAGUGAAUUUCAUUUUUGUGGCUGUUUUAUAACAUUUGCCAACAAAUUAAAAUUUUUUAAAACCAAAUUGUGCCAGCACCAUUUUCUGUCAGCAAACUAUGAGAAGGAAAUAUCAGUAAAUAUAUUUCGAUAAAAACGGGCCAUCGUAAAAUGUAAAAUUACACCUCCUCAAGAAGAUCUUUGCCAUCUGCCAUCAUAACAAGUUUGGUAUGAAAUCAGUACCAAUUUAAUUAAUUAAAUUUUUAUUUUAUUUAUUUUCCCCUAAUUUUACAGUGACAAUAAGUAUUUUUUAUGUAGUUUUGUCUUAUUAAUUCACUCUUCAUUAAGUGCUGUGAAAAGUUUUAAGUAUAUUAAAUAUACUGAGUGUAAUGUUUCACUGGUAAUAAUUAAUAAAUUGUGUAUAUAUCGUAUCACUGUAAAUGGUGUGGCAAAAAAUUUAGACAGAAAGAACAUUUGAAAGGUCAUGUUUUCAUGGUACAUAUGAAAAAUUAGUUCCAGCUCUUUUGUGCAUUUUUAUUUAAAAUUGUAUAAGAUUUGUGAUGUAUUCUACUGUUAUUUAGCUCAAAAUCACAAACACUAUUGCUUAUUCUUACACUGUAAUGUGCGCAUAGAAGUGAGUAGUAGAUUGUUAUUUUAAACUGAAAUAAUUUUAAGAGAAUAGUUGCUAUUGUGAUGCUUUCAGUGUUAAAAUCUUCUUUACUUUGAUACAAGAAAAUUACAGUAAAAGCUAAAAGUUACACAGCUACUGAUUUUGAAAUAUGAUCUUAAUUGAAGGUAACAAGAACUUCUGCUUGCUCUCAAAGAUAUGUGAAAAGAAACGGAAUGAUCUAUCUUUACGGUAUAGCUAAUUCCUUUUUAGCAUCUCUAGUAUGAACUACUUUUGAAAAGGAACAGGAAUUUGUAUUGUAAAUUUGAAGCAAUGUUCACAUAGUGGUAUUACUAAUGUUUAUAAUGGCAACACUGACCUUGUAGCAGUAUGAUAAAUGCUUAAUAAAUUAUUCUGAAUAUAGUCUCAAACUAUAGUCUAUUAAAAUAGGUAGAAGAUGUCAAUUUUAAAACCCCUUUUUAGUGUUUAAUAUUGUAAGAGGGUAAUUCUUGUUAAAAUCUUUUGAGAUGUUUUUUAUGUAUACAUAUAUAUAAUUAUUAUUCAUUUCCAUGUCUAAAAUGUGCACAUAACAAUAUUUGUGAAUGAAUUUUUUGCUUAUGUCAAACUGCAUUGGAAUUUCAUAUGAUUGAUUUGUUAUUUUUUAUAAUGAUAUUUCUACCUUUUCUCAGGUAGAGAUUAUGGCAAUGUGGAUGUAUGUCAAGCUUUGUUUAUCUCUGACAAGUCAUUACCAGGAACUAUUCAAAGACAUCAUUGUUUAAUAUGCAAAUAUUCCUCAGAGAAGGGAUCAGAAAAAAAAGUGUUAUUGGAAGACAAGCUUCAUAUACAGCUAAAAAAUCUGUGGAUGGAUAUAACAUGUACCAUUGCUGUUUUUGUGGAUAUUUUUCCAAAUAUAAAACAAAUAUUCGUCAUCAUGUUUUCAUUCAUACUGGAGAAAGACCAUAUCAGUGCAGAAUAUGUGGUCAGAAGUUCAGACGAAAUGAACAUUUAAAAUGUCAUAGUUUUAGUAAACACAGAGGAAUAGCUGAAACUCAAAAUCUGUAUUAUUUUUAAUAAAUAACUUAAUAUGAAUAUUUCUUUUGUAUCUUGCCAAAGGUUGUUUAUAUUUUGCUAACUUUAUUUAUUAGUUAAUGCUACUAUGUAAUAAGAUAGAACAAUAGACUAUAUGUGUAUGAAGUGUUUUUGUUGUGUGUGUAUUAUAAGUGUAUGUGAUGAGUGAAAAGGGUUAUUCAUAUUAUAUCACAUGUAUAUUUGUUUGUACAUGUUUUUAUAUUUUUAACUCUCAGAAAAAUUAUUACCAUUUCUUUUUUCGAGUAAAUGUAACAUGUACGUUAGCUGAAAUACACAUUUUUGUAUCUUGAAAUCUGAUAGAAACAUUCGUAACAUUUUGUGUAUACAUGCAUGUAUGUAUACACAUAAAAUGUUAAGAAUAUGUAUUAUGUAUAUAUAUAUAUAUGUGAAUGUAUAUAUAUAAUGAAGAAAGAAAAAUAUGCACAAAAGUUCCGGACAUGUGCAGCAAUCAUUUCUUGAUGCUAACUGAGUUUGUGUAUAAUUUUCAAUUCUUUAAAAAUUUUUAGUUAAUAGCUGUCUUUUUUACACUCAGAGCUUGUCAGUGUUGGGCAAAUAAUGUGUAAUUCAAUUUAAAAUUUUCUAGGUUUUCAAUUUCCCUAACUAAAUUUGUUCAUUGGUUAGCUGAAAAACAGACUAUCAUCAUGAGAAAUGUAAAUUACUUCUUUAUGAUUUUUAUGGUACUUUGAUUCUUUGAAUUUUUGUAAAAGAUUUCUAAUUUUAUAUAUUCUUCUCAGUUUCAUGCAAUAGUUUUGUUGACUGUUUUGUUCUACUUUGUUGUUUUGCUGAAUAUAAAUUAAAAUGUAGUAUUUUCCAUAUUUUAUAUAUAAAAUUAUAUAUAUAUUGUAUAUAUAUGCAUGCACAGAAAUGGUUCAUAUAAUGACCUGUUUUGUCCUAAAAAAAAAGAGAUAGUGUAAGGAGUAAUCACCAUAAUGAGAAUGAAUUCAGUUUACUUUCAUUAUUUGGAUAUGUUUUGCAUUACUUUUGGUAGUGGCAGGUUUCUGUAGCAAGCAUGGGCAACAUGUGUAAAUGUAUAUAUAUAUAUACAUUGGCAAAAAGUAAGAAAUUUAGAACCCAAUUACACAAAGACAAAAAAAGUGAAAUUUAAUACCAAUAAAUUUCAUAGAAACAAAUGUGAUUCCAAUGGGAAGUUCAUAUUCAACUUAUCUAUGUAACCUAUAUUUGUUUUCAAAGAAUUAAAUUUUUUAGAAAACCUUU